GACGAACGCUGGCGGCAUGCCUAACACAUGCAAGUUGAGCGACUAACCAGGGCUUGCCCUGGGGCAAAGCAGCGAACGGGUGAGUAACACGUGGGUAACCUGCCGAGAUGACCGGGACAA
Molecule: ribosomal RNA, 120 nt
Filed under: uncultured bacterium
Lineage: Bacteria
Description: partial 16S ribosomal RNA
Rfam family: Bacterial small subunit ribosomal RNA
Source: RNAcentral